AUGAAGACCUCCAAGAAAUGUCGGGCCUUCGUAUCUGUGUCACGAAAUCCAGACAUGAUGAAUAUCUUGAGAAUUAUUCAUAGUCGAGUUAGUGGUCUACGUUUUGAGGACACUGAUGCAGGGAGCAUACAACAAGUCAUCAUCAAUAUCAGCAGUUUCCUAGUAGAAAAAAGGUAUUUUGUUGUCGUUGAUGAUAUAUGGGACGUGGAAACUUGGGAUGUUAUUAAGCGUGCAUUUCCCAUGACUAGUUGUCGUAGCAUCAUAAUCACCACUACACGUAUUCAUAGUGUUGCAAAAGCAUGCCGUUCAUCAACCAAUGAUGACAUCUAUAGGAUAAAGCCUCUUAAUUGGGUGCAUUCAAAAGAACUAUUUCAUAGAAGACUAUUUGAAUCCAAAGAAGAUCUCCCUGCAAACCUUGAAGACGUUUGUAAUGAAAUUUUGAAAAAGUGUGAUGGCUUACCCCUAGCAAUCAUUGCUAUAUCUGGCCUAUUGGCCAGCAGAGAGAGAACAAAGGAUGUGUGGAAUCACGUGAAAGAUUCAAUUGGUCGUGCACUUGAAAGGAAUCCCAAGGUCGAAGGAAUGAUGAAGAUAUUGUCACUUAGUUACUAUGAUCUUCCUCCUCAUCUAAAAAGUUGUCUCCUAUAUAUGAGUUUAUUUCCUGAAGAUUCUAUUAUUGAGAAGAAGGGUCUGAUAAGAAGAUGGAUUGCCGAAGGAUUUGUUUACAAAGAUUGCAUAUGUAAGGCAUUUGAAUUAGGAGAGAGGUAUUUUAAUGAGCUCGUCAAUAGGAGUUUGAUCCAACCUGUGAAGCUGGGAUUAUUUGGUCAGGUGCUUUCUUGUCGAGUUCAUGACACAAUUCUUGAUUUCAUAGUAUCCAAAUCCAUUGAAGAGAACUUUGUUACUUUCAUUGGUGUCCCAAGUUUAUCUAUUGGGACACAAGGAAGAGUCCGCCGCCUCUCCAUGCAAGUUGAAGGGGGAGGAAAUUAUGUCAUGCCAAUGACCCAGGAAUUAUCUCAUGUCCGAUCACUUAAUGUGUUUGGGAAUACAGUAAAAAUCCCUUCAAUGAUGGAGUUCAGGCAUUUGCGCAGUAUGGACUUUGGAGGAUGUAGUUCAUUAGGCAUUUUGGGAUGCAGACAACUAGAAAAACACCAUCUUACAAAUGUAGGAAGGCUGUUUCAGCUAAAGUACCUCAACAUUGCCAUGACAUUAGUAAGGCAGCUCCCUGAAGAAAUUGGACAUCUACAGUGCUUAGAGAUGUUGGACAUAAGGGAGUCAAGGAUAUACAAUUUACCGGCAGGUAUUGUCAAUCUUGGAAAACUGAAACACUUAAUAGUUGACUGUGGUGCUACGUUUCCCGAUGAAAUCGCUCAGAUGCAAUCAUUGGAAUUUUUAAAGUGUGUGUCUGUCCACUUCCAGUCCUAUAGAUUUCUGGAAGGGCUUGGGCAGCUAAAGAAUCUGAGGAAGCUGCAUCUUUUUUUUGGUGAUGUUGAGCAAGAUCAGCAAAUAGAAGUUACUUUUUCUUCUGUCCGUAGCCUAUUGGCACAUAACCUUAGUUCUGUAAGAAUGGAGUAUGUUGACGACGACACCUUAACGGGUACAGCAUGGUGCACUUCCCCACUGCAUAACCUCAAAAGACUUGUGGCUGAUUAUCCCUUCUCAAAGGUUCCGGAUUGGGUAAAAUCACUAGCCAACCUGCAGACGUUACUCUUGGUAGUGGAGAAAAUUGGGAAUGAAGGCCUCUGCAUCCUUGGAGCCUUACCCGCUCUGCUCACUCUGGAUCUCAAUGGAAAGGCAGAUCAGUCUCCUUUUGAAGAUCGAAGGCUAGCAGUCAAUGAUAAAGCUGGGUUCAAAUGCCUGAACAUGUUUAUUUAUCGCUCCCGGAGGGAUGGAAUGGGUCUCCUGUUUGCGGCAGGAUGUAUGCCCAAGCUAGAGAAAUUGGCGAUUUUGUUUUCCGACUGGUCUGAAAAUGAGUGUCUCUUCAGUACUCCUGGUGCUUUGGAUUUUGGAAUGGAAAAUCUCCCCAGGCUCGUUACUUUGGAAUGUCAAUUAGAGUUCAAGGGUAUGCAGAGCAGUGCUGUUCUGGCCGUAAAGGCAUCCCUGGAGAGAGCAGUCGGCGCACAUCCCAACAAACAGCUUACUCUAAUCUUCAAGAAGCACUAUGGUUGGCGUUGA
This 2169-nucleotide ribosomal RNA is filed under the name Triticum aestivum (bread wheat). RNAcentral's name for it is "partial small subunit ribosomal RNA". Lineage: Eukaryota; Viridiplantae; Streptophyta; Magnoliopsida; Poales; Poaceae. The record is from RNAcentral.